This 476-nucleotide ribosomal RNA is filed under the name uncultured bacterium. RNAcentral's name for it is "bacterial SSU rRNA". It matches the Rfam family "Bacterial small subunit ribosomal RNA", at positions 28 to 501 of the family's 1533-position model. The record is from RNAcentral.
GAUGAACGCUAGCGGCAGGCUUAACACAUGCAAGUCGAGGGGUAUAGGGAGCUUGCUUCCUAGAGACCGGCGCACGGGUGCGUAACGCGUAUGCAAUCUACCUUUUGCAGAGGGAUAGCCCAGAGAAAUUUGGAUUAAUACCUCAUAGUAUGUGAGAAUGGCAUCAUUUUCACAUUAAAGUCACAACGGCAAAAGAUGAGCAUGCGUCCCAUUAGCUUGUUGGUAAGGUAACGGCUUACCAAGGCAACGAUGGGUAGGGGUCCUGAGAGGGAGAUCCCCCACACUGGUACUGAGACACGGACCAGACUCCUACGGGAGGCAGCAGUGAGGAAUAUUGGACAAAUGGGCGCAAGCCUGAUCCAGCCAUGCCGCGUGCAGGAUGACGGUCCUAUGGAUUGUAAACUGCUUUUUGUACAGGAAGAAACACUCCGACGUGUCGGAGCUUGACGGUACUGUAAGAAUAAGGAUCGGCUAAC